RNAcentral lists this unclassified non-coding RNA (318 nucleotides) under Hevea brasiliensis (rubber tree). Lineage: Eukaryota; Viridiplantae; Streptophyta; Magnoliopsida; Malpighiales; Euphorbiaceae. The record is from RNAcentral.
UAGUUGUCUUCUUUAUCCAUUGCUAUAUAUAUGGAUAACUUUAAUCGAAAAACCCUAAAGUGAUAGCUCAAUUCAUGCAAGGACAAAAACCCUAGUGAAUCUUCCCAGAUGGGUCCUCCUCCUGCCAAAAAAAAAUGAUAAUAACCUAGUUAAUAAUUUACAGCAAGUAAAUGAAAAUGCAGGUAAAUAUGCUACAAUAUGAGACUAGUUUUUGGGGUAGACAAUUAAGUGCAAAAAAUUAUGAAGCAGAAGUUGCAUGGAAGUUAGGGGAAAACGGAAGUAGCCAAGAGAGAACCUGAUUGGAGAGAGAGAGAGAGA